CCUACGGGUGGCAGCAGUGAGGAAUAUUGGUCAAUGGACGAGAGUCUGAACCAGCCAAGUAGCGUGAAGGAUGACUGCCCUAUGGGUUGUAAACUUCUUUUAUAUGGGAAUAAAAUGUUCCACGUGUGGGAUUUUGUAUGUACCAUAUGAAUAAGGAUCGGCUAACUCCGUGCCAGCGGCUGCGGUAAUACGGAGGAUCCGAGCGUUAUCCGGAUUUAUUGGGUUUAAAGGGUGCGUAGGUGGAUUGUUAAGUCAGUUGUGAAAGUUUGCGGCUCAACCGUAAAAUUGCAGUUGAAACUGGCAGUCUUGAGUGCAGUAGAGGUAGGCGGAAUGCGUGGUGUAGCGGUGAAAUGCUUAGAUAUCACGCAGAACUCCGAUUGCGAAGGCAGCUUACUGGACUACAACUGACACUGAGGCACGAAAGUGUGGGUAUCAAACAGGAUUAGAUACCCUUGUAGUC
Molecule: ribosomal RNA, 460 nt
Filed under: uncultured bacterium
Lineage: Bacteria
Description: partial 16S ribosomal RNA
Rfam family: Bacterial small subunit ribosomal RNA
Source: RNAcentral